RNAcentral lists this ribosomal RNA (450 nucleotides) under uncultured bacterium. RNAcentral describes it as "partial 16S ribosomal RNA". It matches the Rfam family "Bacterial small subunit ribosomal RNA", at positions 354 to 796 of the family's 1533-position model. The record is from RNAcentral.
GUGGGGAAUUUUGGACAAUGGGCGCAAGCCUGAUCCAGCCAUUCCGCGUGCAGGAUGAAGGCCUUCGGGUUGUAAACUGCUUUUGUACGGAACGAAACGGCUCUGGUUAAUACCCGGGGCUAAUGACGGUACCGUAAGAAUAAGCACCGGCUAACUACGUGCCAGCAGCCGCGGUAAUACGUAGGGUGCAAGCGUUAAUCGGAAUUACUGGGCGUAAAGCGUGCGCAGGCGGUUUUGUAAGACAGGCGUGAAAUCCCCGGGCUCAACCUGGGAAUGGCGCUUGUGACUGCAAAGCUGGAGUGCGGCAGAGGGGGAUGGAAUUCCGCGUGUAGCAGUGAAAUGCGUAGAUAUGCGGAGGAACACCGAUGGCGAAGGCAAUCCCCUGGGCCUGCACUGACGCUCAUGCACGAAAGCGUGGGGAGCAAACAGGAUUAGAAACCCGGGUAGUCC